This 518-nucleotide ribosomal RNA is filed under the name Enterobacter sp. RNAcentral's name for it is "bacterial SSU rRNA". It matches the Rfam family "Bacterial small subunit ribosomal RNA", at positions 832 to 1350 of the family's 1533-position model. Lineage: Bacteria; Pseudomonadati; Pseudomonadota; Gammaproteobacteria; Enterobacterales; Enterobacteriaceae. The record is from RNAcentral.
CUGAGGCGUGACUUCCAAAGAUAACGCGUUAAGUCGCCCCCCGGGGGAGUGCGGCCGCAGGGUUAAAACUCAAAUGAAUUGACGGGGCCCGCACAAGCGGUGGAGCAUGUGGUUUAAUUCGAUGAACGCGAAGACCCUUCCCUACUCUUGACAUCCAGAGAAGUUACCAGAGAUGGUUUGGUCCCUUCGGGAACUAUGAGACAGGUGCUGCAUGGCUGUUGUCAGCUCGUGUUGUGAAAUGUUGGGUUAAGUCCCGCAACGAGCGCAACCCUUAUCCUUUGUUGCCAGCGGUUAGGCCGGGCACUCAAAGGAGACUGCCAGUGAUAAACUGGAGGAAGGUGGGGAUGACGUCAAGUCAUCAUGGCCCUUACGAGUAGGGCUACACACGUGCUACAAUGGCGCAUACAAAGAGAAGCGACCUCGCGAGAGCAAGCGGACCUCAUAAAGUGGGUCGUAGUCCGGAUUGGAGUCUGCAACUCGCCUCCAUGAAGUCGGAAUCGGUGAGGCAAUCCCGGCGA